Molecule: ribosomal RNA, 461 nt
Filed under: uncultured bacterium
Lineage: Bacteria
Description: partial 16S ribosomal RNA
Rfam family: Bacterial small subunit ribosomal RNA
Source: RNAcentral
CCUAUGGGUGGCAGCAGUGAGGAAUAUUGGUCAAUGGGCGGGAGCCUGAACCAGCCAAGUCGCGUGAGGGAUGACGGUCCUACGGAUUGUAAACCUCUUUUGCCGGGGAGCAAGCGUGCGUUCGUGAACGCGCGUCGAGAGUACCCGGAGAAAAAGCAUCGGCUAACUCCGUGCCAGCAGCCGCGGUAAUACGGAGGAUGCGAGCGUUAUCCGGAUUUAUUGGGUUUAAAGGGUGCGUAGGCGGCCUUUUAAGUCAGCGGUGAAAGUCUGUGGCUCAACCAUAGAAUUGCCGUUGAAACUGGGAGGCUUGAGUAUGUUUGAGGCAGGCGGAAUGCGUGGUGUAGCGGUGAAAUGCAUAGAUAUCACGCAGAACUCCGAUUGCGAAGGCAGCAUACCGGCGCCCGACUGACGCUGAGGCACGAAAGCGUGGGGAUCGAACAGGAUUAGAUACCCCAGUAGUC